RNAcentral lists this ribosomal RNA (441 nucleotides) under uncultured bacterium. RNAcentral's name for it is "partial 16S ribosomal RNA". It matches the Rfam family "Bacterial small subunit ribosomal RNA", at positions 338 to 795 of the family's 1533-position model. The record is from RNAcentral.
CCUACGGGAGGCAGCAGUGGGGAAUAUUGCACAAUGGGGGGAACCCUGAUGCAGCGACGCCGCGUGAGUGAAGAAGUAUUUCGGUAUGUAAAGCUCUAUCAGCAGGAACGAGACAAGACGGUACCUGACUAAGAAGCCCCGGCUAACUACGUGCCAGCAGCCGCGGUAAUACGUAGGGGGCAAGCGUUAUCCGGAAUCACUGGGUGGAAAGGGAGCGUAGACGGCUGAGCAAGCCUGAAGUGAAAGGCGGGGGCCCAACCCCCGGACUGCUUUGGGAACUGUACGGCUGGAGUGCAGGAGAGGUAAGUGGAAUUCCUAGUGUAGCGGUGAAAUGCGUAGAUAUUAGGAGGAACACCAGUGGCGAAGGCGGCUUACUGGACUGUAACUGACGUUGAGGCUCGAAAGCGUGGGGAGCAAACAGGAUUAGAUACCCGUGUAGUC